This 908-nucleotide ribosomal RNA is filed under the name Escherichia coli. RNAcentral describes it as "partial 23S ribosomal RNA". It matches the Rfam family "Bacterial large subunit ribosomal RNA", at positions 1920 to 2825 of the family's 2925-position model. Lineage: Bacteria; Pseudomonadati; Pseudomonadota; Gammaproteobacteria; Enterobacterales; Enterobacteriaceae. The record is from RNAcentral.
CCGGUAAACGGCGGCCGUAACUAUAACGGUCCUAAGGUAGCGAAAUUCCUUGUCGGGUAAGUUCCGACCUGCACGAAUGGCGUAAUGAUGGCCAGGCUGUCUCCACCCGAGACUCAGUGAAAUUGAACUCGCUGUGAAGAUGCAGUGUACCCGCGGCAAGACGGAAAGACCCCGUGAACCUUUACUAUAGCUUGACACUGAACAUUGAGCCUUGAUGUGUAGGAUAGGUGGGAGGCUUUGAAGUGUGGACGCCAGUCUGCAUGGAGCCGACCUUGAAAUACCACCCUUUAAUGUUUGAUGUUCUAACGUUGACCCGUAAUCCGGGUUGCGGACAGUGUCUGGUGGGUAGUUUGACUGGGGCGGUCUCCUCCUAAAGAGUAACGGAGGAGCACGAAGGUUGGCUAAUCCUGGUCGGACAUCAGGAGGUUAGUGCAAUGGCAUAAGCCAGCUUGACUGCGAGCGUGACGGCGCGAGCAGGUGCGAAAGCAGGUCAUAGUGAUCCGGUGGUUCUGAAUGGAAGGGCCAUCGCUCAACGGAUAAAAGGUACUCCGGGGAUAACAGGCUGAUACCGCCCAAGAGUUCAUAUCGACGGCGGUGUUUGGCACCUCGAUGUCGGCUCAUCACAUCCUGGGGCUGAAGUAGGUCCCAAGGGUAUGGCUGUUCGCCAUUUAAAGUGGUACGCGAGCUGGGUUUAGAACGUCGUGAGACAGUUCGGUCCCUAUCUGCCGUGGGCGCUGGAGAACUGAGGGGGGCUGCUCCUAGUACGAGAGGACCGGAGUGGACGCAUCACUGGUGUUCGGGUUGUCAUGCCAAUGGCACUGCCCGGUAGCUAAAUGCGGAAGAGAUAAGUGCUGAAAGCAUCUAAGCACGAAACUUGCCCCGAGAUGAGUUCUCCCUGACCCUUUAAG